UACGUAGGGAGCAAGCGUUAUCCGGAAUCACUGGGCGUAAAGGGUGAGUAGGCGGCUAUGUAAGUCAUAUGUGAAAGGCGAGGGCUUAACCUUUGGACUGCAUAAGAAACUACAUAGCUAGAGUGUGGGAGAGGCAAGCGGAAUUCCUAGUGUAGCGGUGAAAUGCGUGGAUAUUAGGAAGAACACCGGUGGCGAAGGCGGCUUGCUGGACCAUAACUGACGCUGAGGCACGAAAGCGUGGGGAGCGAACAGG
This 253-nucleotide ribosomal RNA is filed under the name uncultured bacterium. RNAcentral describes it as "partial 16S ribosomal RNA". It matches the Rfam family "Bacterial small subunit ribosomal RNA", at positions 524 to 776 of the family's 1533-position model. The record is from RNAcentral.